Molecule: transfer RNA, 71 nt
Filed under: Pyrearinus termitilluminans (Brazilian larval click-beetle)
Lineage: Eukaryota; Metazoa; Arthropoda; Insecta; Coleoptera; Elateridae
Description: tRNA-Lys
Source: RNAcentral
CAUUAGAUGACUGAAAGCAAGUAAUGGUCUCUUAAACCACUCCACAGUAGACUAGCGACUACUUCUAAUGA